CUCUGUGGAUCAGUGGCGAACGGGUGAGUAACACGUGAGCAACCUGCCCCUGACUCUGGGAUAAGCGCUGGAAACGGCGUCUAAUACCGGAUAUGAGCUGCGAUCGCAUGGUCAGCAGUUGGAAAGAUUUUUCGGUCUGGGAUGGGCUCACGGCCUAUCAGCUUGUUGGUGAGGUAAUGGCUCACCAAGGCGUCGACGGGUAGCCGGCCUGAGAGGGUGACCGGCCACACUGGGACUGAGACACGGCCCAGACUCCUACGGGAGGCAGCAGUGGGGAAUAUUGCACAAUGGGCGAAAGCCUGAUGCAGCAACGCCGCGUGAGGGAUGACGGCCUUCGGGUUGUAAACCUCUUUUAGCAGGGAAGAAGCGAAAGUGACGGUACCUGCAGAAAAAGCGCCGGCUAACUACGUGCCAGCAGCCGCGGUAAUACGUAGGGCGCAAGCGUUAUCCGGAAUUAUUGGGCGUAAAGAGCUCGUAGGCGGUUUGUCGCGUCUGCUGUGAAAUCCCGAGGCUCAACCUCGGGUCUGCAGUGGGUACGGGCAGACUAGAGUGCGGUAGGGGAGAUUGGAAUUCCUGGUGUAGCGGUGGAAUGCGCAGAUAUCAGGAGGAACACCGAUGGCGAAGGCAGAUCUCUGGGCCGUUACUGACGCUGAGGAGCGAAAGGGUGGGGAGCAAACAGGCUUAGAUACCCUGGUAGUCCACCCCGUAAACGUUGGGAACUAGUUGUGGGGUCCAUUCCACGGAUUCCGUGACGCAGCUAACGCAUUAAGUUCCCCGCCUGGGGAGUACGGCCGCAAGGC
This 800-nucleotide ribosomal RNA is filed under the name Microbacterium sp. RS-BIW-33. Its description in RNAcentral is "bacterial SSU rRNA". It matches the Rfam family "Bacterial small subunit ribosomal RNA", at positions 83 to 894 of the family's 1533-position model. The record is from RNAcentral. Lineage: Bacteria; Bacillati; Actinomycetota; Actinomycetes; Micrococcales; Microbacteriaceae.